RNAcentral lists this ribosomal RNA (187 nucleotides) under uncultured rumen bacterium. RNAcentral's name for it is "partial 16S ribosomal RNA". It matches the Rfam family "Bacterial small subunit ribosomal RNA", at positions 340 to 524 of the family's 1533-position model. The record is from RNAcentral.
UACGGGAGGCAGCAGUGAGGAAUAUUGGUCAAUGGGCGAGAGCCUGGACCAGCCAAGUAGCGUGCAGGAUGACGGCCCUAUGGGUUGUAAACUGCUUUUAUGCGGGGAUAAAGUGAGGGACGUGUCCCUUAUUGUAGGUACCGCAUGAAUAAGGACCGGCUAAUUCCGUGCCAGCAGCCGCGAAGGG